CGCGAAAGCGUGGGGAGCAAACAGGAUUAGAUACCCUGGUAGUCCACGCCGUAAACGAUGAGUGCUAAGUGUUAGAGGGUUUUCCGCCCUUUAGUGCUGCAGCUAACGCAUUAAGCACUCCGCCUGGGGAGUACGGUCGCAAGACUGAAACUCAAAGGAAUUUGACGGGGGCCCGCACAAGCGGUGGAGCAUGUGGUUUUAAUUCGAAGCAACGCGAAGAACCUUACCAGGUCUUGACAUCCUCUGACAACUCUAGAGAUAGAGCGUUCCCCUUCGGGGGACAGAGUGACAGGUGGUGCAUGGUUGUCGUCAGCUCGUGUCGUGAGAUGUUGGGUUUAGUCCCGCAACGAGCGCAACCCUUGAUCUUAGUUGCCAGCAUUUAGUUGGGCACUCUAAGGUGACUGCCGGUGACAAACC
RNAcentral lists this ribosomal RNA (417 nucleotides) under Priestia flexa. RNAcentral describes it as "bacterial SSU rRNA". It matches the Rfam family "Bacterial small subunit ribosomal RNA", at positions 752 to 1164 of the family's 1533-position model. Lineage: Bacteria; Bacillati; Bacillota; Bacilli; Caryophanales; Bacillaceae. The record is from RNAcentral.